AGAUUUUGGGUUAAUCCUCUAAUUGGUCCCUGUGGUUGUGUGACCAUCUGAAAUUAGUCCCUCCCGUAAAAUCUAAGUCCUCGUGUUUGAAAAAGUGUGUGUAGCAGGUCCUCGCCGGAGGGACUAAUUUCCACACACUUUCCAAACACGAGGACUUAGAUUUUACGGGAGGGACUAAUUUCAGACGGCCACACAACCACAGGGACUAAUUAGAGGAUUAACCCCAUAUUU
This 231-nucleotide microRNA precursor is filed under the name Lotus japonicus. Its description in RNAcentral is "miR11072c stem-loop (lja-MIR11072c)". The record is from miRBase by way of RNAcentral. Lineage: Eukaryota; Viridiplantae; Streptophyta; Magnoliopsida; Fabales; Fabaceae.